This is a long non-coding RNA of Vespa crabro (European hornet), 3948 nucleotides long. RefSeq lists it as uncharacterized. The record is from RefSeq and is a predicted model, not a curated record. The transcript is spliced from 2 exons. NCBI's taxonomy places the organism in Eukaryota, Metazoa, Arthropoda, Insecta, Hymenoptera, Vespidae.
UUGAUUACGUAUUGUGAAAGUGAGGUUAAUAAUUGUAUUCAGUAAAAUAAUAUUCUUUUAUAACAUUAGUAUUAGACUUACACAUUCAUAAGGUUAAUUAUAUAGAUUAAAAAUAAUUUUUUUCAACAAAUGAUUGAAUAAACGUAUCUUUCUUCUAUAUCAUGGAAUUUACGUCGAUUUGAUCUACGCUACCUCGUAGAAAAAGGUUAUGUGAUGUUAUUCUAUUAAAAGAAGGAGUUAAAGGAAUGUUUGAAUAAAUAAGAAAAUAAAGGAUAUCGAUACAACAGAAUACUUAUUCUGUUAUUUCAGAAGUUGCGAGUAAAGUUUGGAUUGAAAGUUCAUUCAGUACAUCAGCAAUUAAAACUUCUAUGUCUUCAAGUUUUUCAGGAACGAUACUUUGUGAAAUCUGAUGAAGUAUAUUCAAAUAAGACAGUGUAAGGCAUAAAGAUAUUUAUAGACUUGAUCUGUUUAUUUAUAAUGUGCGAUAAAAUAUUUCUCUCGGAAAUACUUUCGUGGAUUAGGCUCGGCUUACAUUUUUAGCUAAACUUUAACACAGUUUAGUUAGUCUCAACUUAGCAUUCGCUUGAAACAAUCUUGGACAGUGAAUGUAGCAAUUGAAAAGUUUUUGAACCUUAUAAAUAUGGAUUAAGAUCAGAUCAGUUCAAGUUCGGACGAAUUCAAUUUUGAUGCUUUUUCUACGAACUAUCUGCAAAUUCAAUAUGGCGAAGCUGGCGUGAUAUGAACAACGCAGAAUUCCGGACAUUUAUUGCUGUUAUAAUCAAUAUGGGUACAAUGCCGUUGGCCAAUUUGCAAGAAUAUUGAUCGAGGAAUAUCAUCGGUUAUAUUCCUUUCUAUUCGGAUACAUUUACAAGAGACAAAUUUAGUCAAAUAUUCUGGUUGCUUUAUGCUGAAAACUAUUUCAACACGCAAACACGAAUUCGAGAAUGUGCCUACAACGAGUAAGUUGCUUUUUGGACUAUAUCAAGUCAAAGUUUUUGGAUUAUUUUAAUAUCCGGACGAGCAUAUAUGUGUGCUCGAGUCAACGAUAAAAUUCAAGGGUCGAAUUUCGUUCAUAAUAUACAAUCCUAAGAAACUGACAAAAUGGGAUAUCAGAGUUUUAUAUUCUAGCAGACUCGAAGACUGAUUAUAUUUGCUGCAUUUUGCUAUAUUAUGGAUCACUCAUAACAGAGCUUUUGGUCAUACCCCAUUUACCUGUUUCAUCCAAGAAUUCCGAUACACUUGUACAAAAUAUUGUUUGAGAAAAUUCCAGAUGUUCAGGGGCACCAUAUGUACACGCAUCGUUACUAUACUAGUUACUAUGUCUUAGCUCAAGAACUAGCCAAAUUGAAAUGCAAUAUCACCGGGACGAUUUUAACGAACAGGAAAGAAUUGCCCAAGGAAAUAAAAAAGCCAAAUUUUUCGAAAAAAAAUCCACAAUCGCGUAUCGACGAGGCAACACUUUACUUUUAGGGUGGAAAGAUAAAAGGAUUACACGAGGUGGUGUGGAAAUAAUGGCCAAGAAAUCCAAUAUUGUAUUAAAUUAUACAAAAUAUAAGGUUGGGAAAAAAGAAAUCCAUUAUUUUUGCGUGAACUUCAAGAGUUUAUUUAACCCUUUGAAUGUUAUGGGCGCACAUAUGCGUCCAGCGAAAGCUAUCGAUAUAGACUAUGAACGCAAAUACUCGCUGGGCAGAUGCUAUCAGUAUGGACUAUGGACGCAAAUACGCGCCUGGCAAAAAUGUUCAGUGUACUAUGGUCAAAUGUAUAUAAUCGGGAAUUGUUUCUAUUGCGCAAAAAAGUAUUUAGUCUCCGGCGAUCGUCAGCGUCAGCCGCGGACAGCAUAGGCCACGAGUAUUCAGCACUCAAAGGAUUAACAUGUUUCGGAUUGUCCAAUUUGGGUCAAAUAUGCACCAUUUUGUUCUAUAAUUUGUUGUCAUUUUAAAGGUAGCUUUAUAAUGCCUCUCUCAUAAAAGUCUUGGUCCUUAUUGGCGAAAAACUCUAGUAAUCGAUUUUUACGAUCUUCUCUUGAUGCCAAUUUCUUAUCACUCAGGAAGUUUUGCAAUGCGAGAAAAAGAUGAUAAUCGCUUGGUGCCAGGUCCGGACUAUAUGGUGGAUGCAUUAAAACUUCCCAACCAAGCUCCCGGAAUUUUUGAUGAGUCACUACAAACAUAUAUAGCUUGGCGUUGUCCUUAUGGAACAUAACACCUCUUCUGUUGGCCAAUUCUGGCCGUUUCUGGUCAAUCGCUAGCUUCAAAUGAUCCAGUUGUUGACGGUAGAAAUCCGAAUUUAGUGUUUGGCCAUAUGGAAGCAACUCAUAAUAAAUGAUUCCUUUCCAAUCUCACCAAAUGCACAGCAAAACCUUUCUGGUCGUUAGUCUUGAUUUGGCCACCGUUUGAGCUGCUUCACCGCGCUUUGACCUCGAUCGUUUUUGCUCAAUAUUGUCGUAUGUGAUCCAUUUCUCAUCCCCAGUUACCAUCCGUUUAAGAAAUGGAUCGAUUUCAUUCAGUUUGGCCAAAGUUUCGUAAAUGGAAAUUUGAUCCAUCAUGUUUUUUGAUGUUAAUUGGUGUAGCACCCAAACAUCGAGCUUCUUUUUGAAUUAAGCUUUGUGCAAAUGGUUUAAAACUGUUUUAUGAUCGAUCUUUAGCUCCUGGACGAUGCUACGAUUAAUAACAUGCCAGCCAACUUCGAUUAUUUCUAUGAUUUUAUCGACAUUUUCGACCUGCCUGUGCGAGGUGCGUCUUUAACAUCAAAAAUACCUGAACGGAAUCGACGAAACCAAAAUUGCACGUAAUUAGCUGUUACAAUAUCGGGACCAUAAACACCAUUCACAAUUUCAGUCGCCUGGCUUGCAUUUUUGCCUUUAUCAAAGAAAAAUUGUAAAGUGUAUCGAAUUUUCUCUUUGUUGACUUCCAUUUUUAACACCCUGUAACUCACAACUGAAUGGACCAAGCAAAAAACAGCAAAAGAAUUUUUUUAGUCAUCUUGAAAUGUCAUCUUGAUAACGAGCAUAAAUCUGAAAUUGUUUGAUCGAUACUUUACGAGAUAUAUCGAUCGCUACAGACAUCUACCAAAAAAAUAAAUGGUUUUCUUUUUCCCCAAUAUAAUAAUCGCGAUGAUUGAAUAAGUAUUACUGAUUGUAAAAUUGCAAAAUCGUACUCGAGAAAGCUUGUUUUUUUUCCCCUGUAUUUAUUAUCUUUAUUAAUUUUAAAUCUUUAUCAAUUGUUUUAAUAAAUUCUUGGUUAAAGAAUAAUUCAAAAAUAGAACCUGGGCAACUUUUUUUCUGUUAAAUCAGACUGCUACUACACUCCGUCAUCAUCAUCAUCCGUAUAAAUUAUAAUAAAUGAUUCAAAAUGUACUCUUGCUGUUGGUAUUUUUUAUUGUCUUGAUAUUAUAAGUUUAUUGAGUCAUUCUAUUAACGACUUGUCAUCAUCAUUAAACUGUACGUCGCUGUCACUAUUAUUGAUUUCAUUAUCACUAAUAAUUCGAUUCCAUCGGAAUUGUCGAGGGGUGAUUAUUGCACUCAAGGAAAUCCAAGUGAAAACUGACGAAACAUAUGCGAGAAUCGUCGAAUGAAAGGACCUUGUAAAGUGGUACGCUAAAUAUCUCGUCCAAAGUGUAUGUGCUAAAUAACAUCGCAUAACGAGUCCCGAGAUAUUUUGUCUGUGGUUAUAAAAUGAUUUAUACGAGAUUUAUCUAAAAUCAUAAAAUAAAUUAAUCAGUUUCAAUCUAAUUGGCGUUACAGGCAAUUCCUAAACGCUCCGAGCGUUUCUCGAAUACUACCUACCAACAACUCAGGCACAACAUUUUUGCAGCGGAAUGCCUAAGAUAAAGGAAGUCUUAUAUUGAGCGGAAAAGAUCACACGUCCUUGUGAAUGCAUUUGAUUUUAUUUAUUUUAUAAAUAUGCAUUUUCCUAUUGUAAAUAAAAGAUAAAUUUUAAAUUUUGUAAUUCA